Molecule: ribosomal RNA, 439 nt
Filed under: uncultured bacterium
Lineage: Bacteria
Description: partial 16S ribosomal RNA
Rfam family: Bacterial small subunit ribosomal RNA
Source: RNAcentral
CUACGGGUCGCAGCAGUGGGGAAUUUUGCGCAAUGGGGGAAACCCUGACGCAGCGAUACCGCGUGAGUGAAGAAGGCCUUUGGGUCGUAAAGCUCUUUUCUAAGGGAAGAUAGUGACGGUACCUUAGGAAUAAGCGCCGGCUAACUCCGUGCCAGCAGCCGCGGUAAUACGGAGGGCGCGAGCGUUGUUCGGAUUUACUGGGCGUAAAGGGCGCGUAGGCGGCCUGGCAAGUUAAGGGUGAAAUCCCGGGGCUCAACCCCGGAACUGCUCUUAAAACUGCCAAGCUAGAGAUGGUCAGAGGCGGGUGGAAUUCCAGGUGUAGAGGUGAAAUUCGUAGAUAUCUGGAGGAACACCGGUGGCGAAGGCGGCCCGCUGGGGCCGUUCUGACGCUGAGGCGCGAAAGCGUGGGGAGCGAACGGGAUUAGAUACCCGGGUAGUC